RNAcentral lists this ribosomal RNA (1380 nucleotides) under uncultured bacterium. RNAcentral describes it as "16S ribosomal RNA". It matches the Rfam family "Bacterial small subunit ribosomal RNA". The record is from RNAcentral.
UUCGCCCUUAGAGUUUGAUCCUGGCUCAGGACGAACGCUGGCGGCGCGCCUAACACAUGCAAGUCGAACGAGCGAGAGAGAGCUUGCUUUCUCGAGCGAGUGGCGAACGGGUGAGUAACGCGUGAGGAACCUGCCUCAAAGAGGGGGACAACAGUUGGAAACGACUGCUAAUACCGCAUAAGCCCACGGGUCGGCAUCGACCAGAGGGAAAAGGAGCAAUCCGCUUUGAGAUGGCCUCGCGUCCGAUUAGCUAGUUGGUGAGGUAACGGCCCACCAAGGCGACGAUCGGUAGCCGGACUGAGAGGUUGAACGGCCACAUUGGGACUGAGACACGGCCCAGACUCCUACGGGAGGCAGCAGUGGGGAAUAUUGCACAAUGGGGGAAACCCUGAUGCAGCGACGCCGCGUGGAGGAAGAAGGUCUUCGGAUUGUAAACUCCUGUUGUUGAGGAAGAUAAUGACGGUACUCAACAAGGAAGUGACGGCUAACUACGUGCCAGCAGCCGCGGUAAAACGUAGGUCACAAGCGUUGUUCGGAAUUACUGGGUGUAAAGGGAGCGCAGGCGGGAAGACAAGUUGGAAGUGAAAUCUAUGGGCUCAACCCAUAAACUGCUUUCAAAACUGUUUUUCUUGAGUAGUGCAGAGGUAGGCGGAAUUCCCGGUGUAGCGGUGGAAUGCGUAGAUAUCGGGAGGAACACCAGUGGCGAAGGCGGCCUACUGGGCACCAACUGACGCUGAGGCUCGAAAGUGUGGGUAGCAAACAGGAUUAGAUACCCUGGUAGUCCACACCGUAAACGAUGAUUACUAGGUGUUGGGAGGAUUGACCCCUUCAGUGCCGCAGUUAACACAAUAAGUAAUCCACCUGGGGAGUACGACCGCAAGGUUGAAACUCAAAGGAAUUGACGGGGGCCCGCACAAGCAGUGGAGUAUGUGGUUUAAUUCGACGCAACGCGAAGAACCUUACCAAGUCUUGACAUCCUGCGACGCACAUAGAAAUAUGUGUUUCCUUCGGGACGCAGAGACAGGUGGUGCAUGGUUGUCGUCAGCUCGUGUCGUGAGAUGUUGGGUUAAGUCCCGCAACGAGCGCAACCCUUACUGUCAGUUACUACGCAAGAGGACUCUGGCAGGACUGCCGUUGACAAAACGGAGGAAGGUGGGGAUGACGUCAAAUCAUCAUGCCCUUUAUGACUUGGGCUACACACGUACUACAAUGGCGUUAAACAAAGAGAAGCAAGACCGCGAGGUGGAGCAAAACUCAGAAACAACGUCCCAGUUCGGACUGCAGGCUACAACUCGCCUGCACGAAGUCGGAAUUGCUAGUAAUCGUGGAUCAGCAUGCCACGGUGAAUACGUUCCCGGGCCUUGUACACACCGCCCGUCA